RNAcentral lists this ribosomal RNA (1552 nucleotides) under Salmonella enterica subsp. enterica serovar Bareilly str. CFSAN000752. RNAcentral describes it as "bacterial SSU rRNA". It matches the Rfam family "Bacterial small subunit ribosomal RNA". The record is from RNAcentral. Lineage: Bacteria; Pseudomonadati; Pseudomonadota; Gammaproteobacteria; Enterobacterales; Enterobacteriaceae.
AAAUUGAAGAGUUUGAUCAUGGCUCAGAUUGAACGCUGGCGGCAGGCCUAACACAUGCAAGUCGAACGGUAACAGGAAGCAGCUUGCUGCUUUGCUGACGAGUGGCGGACGGGUGAGUAAUGUCUGGGAAACUGCCUGAUGGAGGGGGAUAACUACUGGAAACGGUGGCUAAUACCGCAUAACGUCGCAAGACCAAAGAGGGGGACCUUCGGGCCUCUUGCCAUCAGAUGUGCCCAGAUGGGAUUAGCUAGUUGGUGAGGUAACGGCUCACCAAGGCGACGAUCCCUAGCUGGUCUGAGAGGAUGACCAGCCACACUGGAACUGAGACACGGUCCAGACUCCUACGGGAGGCAGCAGUGGGGAAUAUUGCACAAUGGGCGCAAGCCUGAUGCAGCCAUGCCGCGUGUAUGAAGAAGGCCUUCGGGUUGUAAAGUACUUUCAGCGGGGAGGAAGGUGUUGUGGUUAAUAACCGCAGCAAUUGACGUUACCCGCAGAAGAAGCACCGGCUAACUCCGUGCCAGCAGCCGCGGUAAUACGGAGGGUGCAAGCGUUAAUCGGAAUUACUGGGCGUAAAGCGCACGCAGGCGGUCUGUCAAGUCGGAUGUGAAAUCCCCGGGCUCAACCUGGGAACUGCAUUCGAAACUGGCAGGCUUGAGUCUUGUAGAGGGGGGUAGAAUUCCAGGUGUAGCGGUGAAAUGCGUAGAGAUCUGGAGGAAUACCGGUGGCGAAGGCGGCCCCCUGGACAAAGACUGACGCUCAGGUGCGAAAGCGUGGGGAGCAAACAGGAUUAGAUACCCUGGUAGUCCACGCCGUAAACGAUGUCUACUUGGAGGUUGUGCCCUUGAGGCGUGGCUUCCGGAGCUAACGCGUUAAGUAGACCGCCUGGGGAGUACGGCCGCAAGGUUAAAACUCAAAUGAAUUGACGGGGGCCCGCACAAGCGGUGGAGCAUGUGGUUUAAUUCGAUGCAACGCGAAGAACCUUACCUGGUCUUGACAUCCACGGAAGUUUUCAGAGAUGAGAAUGUGCCUUCGGGAACCGUGAGACAGGUGCUGCAUGGCUGUCGUCAGCUCGUGUUGUGAAAUGUUGGGUUAAGUCCCGCAACGAGCGCAACCCUUAUCCUUUGUUGCCAGCGGUUAGGCCGGGAACUCAAAGGAGACUGCCAGUGAUAAACUGGAGGAAGGUGGGGAUGACGUCAAGUCAUCAUGGCCCUUACGACCAGGGCUACACACGUGCUACAAUGGCGCAUACAAAGAGAAGCGACCUCGCGAGAGCAAGCGGACCUCAUAAAGUGCGUCGUAGUCCGGAUUGGAGUCUGCAACUCGACUCCAUGAAGUCGGAAUCGCUAGUAAUCGUGGAUCAGAAUGCCACGGUGAAUACGUUCCCGGGCCUUGUACACACCGCCCGUCACACCAUGGGAGUGGGUUGCAAAAGAAGUAGGUAGCUUAACCUUCGGGAGGGCGCUUACCACUUUGUGAUUCAUGACUGGGGUGAAGUCGUAACAAGGUAACCGUAGGGGAACCUGCGGUUGGAUCACCUCCUUACCUGAAAGAA